AUGCACCUUGCUAUGUGUUCUGUUAAAAGACUCAUCAAAUCUUUUAAGGUGACCUUGAUGUUAGUCCACAAGAAAGGAACUUCUGGGGCUUUCCCUGACCAAUCUGUGAGAACCUGCCAACUGGAGAAACUAUACCAUACCAGGCUCUAGAACCUGUUGUCCAGGCCUCCCUAGAAUUCCCCAAUCUGAAACCAAAGGUUGGCUCAUCUAGUCAUGGUCCUAGGCUGGCUCUUACC
This 236-nucleotide long non-coding RNA is filed under the name Callithrix jacchus (white-tufted-ear marmoset). RNAcentral describes it as "lncRNA (ENSCJAG00000083932.1)". Lineage: Eukaryota; Metazoa; Chordata; Mammalia; Primates; Cebidae. The record is from RNAcentral.